RNAcentral lists this long non-coding RNA (911 nucleotides) under Dermacentor andersoni. RNAcentral describes it as "uncharacterized LOC126543814". The record is from RNAcentral. Lineage: Eukaryota; Metazoa; Arthropoda; Arachnida; Ixodida; Ixodidae.
UUUGCUUGUAAAUACUCUACUCUUGUGUCCUGUCUGCACGCCUCACCUCCGUUUUGCAUAACGAGUGCAUCAACCCACAUAUUAAUAGCGUAGGCGUUUUAUUAACUGUGCAAUAUUUCCAACGCUUCCUUGCAUGUCAUUUCAUGUGGCAUAUCUUUUCUGGUCACAAAUUUGUGCAGCGAAUCUAUUUUCAUGAUCGACUCCGGGCCUGUGGGACCGUUCACUUGCACUUGAUGCCGAGUCUUUUACAUGUAUCCAUAAACUGCAGAUAUGCACAUCAGAUCCCUGCGAGCAUUUUCAAAAUUCAAUUAUUUUAGACAGCAGGCACAUAUGCAAUACUUACAUAAUCUCAAAUACCACUAAUCAGCUGGGACACAUUUUUGUUGACCAUACUCGCAGGUAAAAUAAGUAGAUCAUGUGGACAGCUCCAGCUCAUUUUCCUUAAAUCAGUGUGUACAAGGGUUAUGCAAAAAUAAUUUUUUUUCUCGCGCACCGAUCAUUUUGCUGUAUAAGCAAGAGAACCCACCACGUUAGUGUAACGUAUCUUGUACAUCACACUAAUAUGUGCUUUAAUUUAAUAAGUGAGAUGAGUUACUUUUAUGGCUCAUUCAGUCAUAUCACACUGCAAGCUGUAUUCAUCAAUCUUCAAUUGGAUUUUGCAAAUGUUUAAUGAAACAUGUUUCCCUUUUAUGCAGAUAUGCAAUGGCAAGCCCUUCCCUGUGUUCCAAAGACAAUGCCUACACCUAGCCACAGCAGCUCCCUCAUACAGACUCCGCAAGCCAAGAGGCCGUGGAGGCAAAUGCAGGCAGCCAGCACACCUCGAACAGCCACCUUGACUGCGGGUGUGUCAGUAGAUUCCUGUUGUACAUAUGCUCAUAAUAAACUUCAGUAAACUUGAACUUGAUAAUAAA